CGUGUGCUUACAAGUAGUCAGAGCCCGUUAAUGGGUGAUGGCGUGCCUUUUGUAGAAUGAACCGGCGAGUUACGAUUUGAUGCAAGGUUAAGCAGUAAAUGUGGAGCCGUAGCGAAAGCGAGUCUGAAUAGGGCGUUUAGUAUUUGGUCGUAGACCCGAAACCAGGUGAUCUACCCUUGGUCAGGUUGAAGUUCAGGUAACACUGAAUGGAGGACCGAACCGACUUACGUUGAAAAGUGAGCGGAUGAACUGAGGGUAGCGGAGAAAUUCCAAUCGAACCUGGAGAUAGCUGGUUCUCUCCGAAAUAGCUUUAGGGCUAGCCUCAAGUGAUGAUUAUUGGAGGUAGAGCACUGUUUGGACGAGGGGCCCCUCUCGGGUUACCGAAUUCAGACAAACUCCGAAUGCCAAUUAAUUUAACUUGGGAGUCAGAACAUGGGUGAUAAGGUCCGUGUUCGAAAGGGAAACAGCCCAGACCACCAGCUAAGGUCCCAAAAUAUAUGUUAAGUGGAAAAGGAUGUGGCGUUGCCCAGACAACUAGGAUGUUGGCUUAGAAGCAGCCAUCAUUUAAAGAGUGCGUAAUAGCUCACUAGUCGAGUGACACUGCGCCGAAAAUGUACCGGGGCUAAACAUAUUACCGAAGCUGUGGAUUGUCCUUUGGACAAUGGUAGGAGAGCGUUCUAAGGGCGUUGAAGCAUGAUCGUAAGGACAUGUGGAGCGCUUAGAAGUGAGAAUGCCGGUGUGAGUAGCGAAAGACGGGUGAGAAUCCCGUCCACCGAUUGACUAAGGUUUCCAGAGGAAGGCUCGUCCGCUCUGGGUUAGUCGGGUCCUAAGCUGAGGCCGACAGGCGUAGGCGAUGGAUAACAGGUUGAUAUUCCUGUACCACCUAUAAUCGUUUUAAUCGAUGGGGGGACGCAGUAGGAUAGGCGAAGCGU
This 932-nucleotide ribosomal RNA is filed under the name Staphylococcus aureus. Its description in RNAcentral is "partial 23S ribosomal RNA". It matches the Rfam family "Bacterial large subunit ribosomal RNA", at positions 557 to 1494 of the family's 2925-position model. The record is from RNAcentral. Lineage: Bacteria; Bacillati; Bacillota; Bacilli; Caryophanales; Staphylococcaceae.